RNAcentral lists this transfer RNA (74 nucleotides) under Tautonia plasticadhaerens. RNAcentral's name for it is "Planctomycetes bacterium ElP tRNA-Val". It matches the Rfam family "tRNA". Rfam says of the family: Transfer RNA (tRNA) molecules are approximately 80 nucleotides in length. Their secondary structure includes four short double-helical elements and three loops (D, anti-codon, and T loops). Further hydrogen bonds mediate the characteristic L-shaped molecular structure. tRNAs have two regions of fundamental functional importance: the anti-codon, which is responsible for specific mRNA codon recognition, and the 3' end, to which the tRNAs corresponding amino acid is attached (by aminoacyl-tRNA synthetases). tRNAs cope with the degeneracy of the genetic code in two manners: having more than one tRNA (with a specific anti-codon) for a particular amino acid; and 'wobble' base-pairing, i.e. permitting non-standard base-pairing at the 3rd anti-codon position. The record is from RNAcentral. Lineage: Bacteria; Pseudomonadati; Planctomycetota; Planctomycetia; Isosphaerales; Isosphaeraceae.
GGGCGGUUGGCUCAGCCGGGAGAGCGCCCGCGUGACGUGCGGGAGGUCGCAGGUUCGAUCCCUGCACCGCCCAC